RNAcentral lists this ribosomal RNA (396 nucleotides) under uncultured bacterium. RNAcentral's name for it is "partial 16S ribosomal RNA". It matches the Rfam family "Bacterial small subunit ribosomal RNA", at positions 523 to 918 of the family's 1533-position model. The record is from RNAcentral.
AUACGUAGGGUGCAAGCGUUAAUCGGAAUUACUGGGCGUAAAGCGCGCGUAGGUGGUUCGUUAAGUUGGAUGUGAAAGCCCCGGGCUCAACCUGGGACCUGCAUCCAAAACUGGCGAGCUAGAGUAUGGCAGAGGGUGGUGGAAUUUCCUGUGUAGCGGUGAAAUGCGUAGAUAUAGGAAGGAACACCAGUGGCGAAGGCGACCACCGGGGCUAAUACUGACACUGAGGGGCGAAAGCGUGGGGAGCAAACAGGAUUAGAUCCCCUGGUAUUCCACGCCGUAAACGAUGUCGACUAGCCGUUGGGAUCCUUGAGAUCUUAGUGGCGCAGCUAACGCAUUAAGUCGACCGCCUGGGGAGUACGGCCGCAAGGUUAAAACUCAAAUGAAUUGGCGGGG